ACCCGCACCCUAUAGGGUUUUUACCCGCGGGCACGCGGGUAAAAUGUGCCCGUUGCCAUCCCUAGUUAAGUGCCGGUGGGCUCGGCCUUCUUAUAUAAGUAUAACCCGUCUUUAUCUUCUUACUGAGGAUGGUCAUUUGAGCUAGCAUAUAUUUCAAACUUAUACUUUUGUAAUCACUCCGAUAAAAUAAUAUAAAAUUUUUGUAACUUGUAAAAUUUGGUAAUAAGAUUUCCGCUGCAAAAAUAUUGGUGUGUGUGAUUUGUGUUACUUAAUCUCGCGGUUCUGGUUGUAAGUGGUUUAUCCGGUGUCCUUGGGGCAAUCGGACGGAUCCUGUUAAGUUAUCUGGUGCACAUGCACGGCCGUCUGAGGUCUUUGAGACAAGGACAGGUGCAUGUGGGCCCGAUAACUUGGAGGUUCUGCCACAGCUGGUAUCGGAGCUGGAUUAAGUAUGUACGAUCACAUACGUAUUUUCAAAACAAAAGUUUUGGUUUUAGAACACCUAUCUUCAACUAAACACAUUGUUUGGUUUUGAAAAUCAGAUUUGAAAAACUAUAAUGCUAGCGACAUCCUCUCUUAAGCCCUAAAUUAAGGACUAUCAGGUGGCUUAGUUGAAAACCACAACCGGGUGGGUAUUGCAUACAUGUGUAUUGUUAUUUUUAAGGCCAUUCAGUUUUGAAUGGAUCGAUGCUCAGGUAAGGUGAGAUGUGAGAGCAUGACCGAACAAACGUCGGUCUAGGGAAGAGCAUAAAAAGCGCUUGAUUAUAUACAUGUUCCACAUAUGUAUAUAUGAAGGCUGCGAUGUGGAGUAUUUACUUUUCUGGGAAUUCUGUACCCCAUGGAUGUGUAUGGGUAUACAGACAUGGGAAUACUGAGAAAUGUAAUGUACUUGUAACGACGCACCUACGCUCAGGUAAGAAGGUGAGUUACCAUAAUGAGUUGCCCUAUGGUUAAAGUGUGGCAACAGCGCCUAUGCGUGGCUCGGCGCUUAAUGAUGAGCUGGCCUCCAUAUAGCAAUAUAUGGAGUAUAAACUGUGAUAAACUGUCAUGUGUGAAUUGCAUCAUGGGGAAUUGGGCUGUGAUGAAUUUUCUGCAGGUAUACUAACCUCGAAAACGUAUGUGUAGCUGACGACUAGCAAAAUACCGUGAGAGUCGUAAAUAUGCCACCGAGAUAGAACGCUAAUGCCACAUUAUGUUGGCAAAACUCGUGAGGACGUGUAGGACGAGCAUGCAUCCUGAUUGUUGCAUCAUGUUUGUCACCUAUACACCCAAGAUGCUUCUCUCAUCCUUAUUCCAGUAACCAGUGAUUGUAGAUAAUGUGGUGUAAUGUUGUAUUAUGAACUUCGAUAAAAUAGUUGUUCUCCGUUCCUUAGGUAUUAUGUUUAGAUGCUAUAUGUGUUUGCCCUUGUGCUUGAUGUGUCGAUAGAAGGUUAGUGACUUGUUUUGCCUAAACCCAAAAUUAGGCCAUGUUCUUAUUAGGUAAACUGAGACCCAAAUUUGAAUUUACCAUUAUCCCUCUACGACUAAACUCAUGUAAAUGAAUGUUUAGAUAAUUUCUUUGUUGGACAUAAAAUGUACCCAACCUUAAAUCAAGGAUCUCAAACCAUGUCUCCUUCUAGAACCAUUUCCUUGUUCAGUUGAUGCAAGUUGAGGUCUCUAUGGUAUUUGGCCUCUCCUUGUGGAUUACCAUGUUACUUUAUCGACCCAACCUAGGAAAGACAUGUCCAACCAUUUUUCUGGAAUUUGAUGUCUUUGGUUUCCCCCAUAUCUAUCGAAGGCAUUCCAACUUAAUCUUAAUAUUGUUUUCCCCUGUAUCUAGUCAGAUACUGAUCCUUGACCUUGUGAUCUCUACGAUGGGCAUAGAAAUAUGCUUGGGGCUGAAGCAACAGUCUCCCGUCGUACUCCUUUCAUCAAAUUUAGGUUAUGGCCAUGCCUUGUUCAUUUCAUCGGGCCAUGAUCUAUUUGGCUCUCUACUUGUAACCAUUCUUACAAGUGGAGUCUAUUUUUGUAUAUUGCCAUCCUUGCUCAGUCUAUUUGUGUCGCGCGAGAUUUCUUAUUGGUUACGUCUGGUAAUGGCGUUAUGACUAAAACCAAUGGUGCCGUGACGAAACCGAGGGCCUCCUAUGGAUGCACACACAUGGUUGCGCUACUUGGCAUCCGCUGGUAUCACCGUUAGUAGUCAUAAUCCAUUAUUAGACUAUAUCGAUAUGUUAUCUUUACGUAGAUUAUUCUUACCCUGCGAGAUUCAUUAUUAGUGCCAGUUCGAUAAUGGCGUCUCGAUUAAUGACUUAUGAUACCCCGGCGAAACUAAGAGCCUCCUGUGAAUGUGCACACAGGAUUCUGCUGCUUGGCGCAUGCUGGUAUCGGAGCCUCUAGUCAUGAUCCAUUGUGGAACUACACCGAUGUGUGGUCUUCCGUGGACUCCUUCUUUGAAACAGUUUCUAUGUUGUUUCUCAAGUUAUCAAGCAACAUCUAUCAUCUUUGCCGGAUCAAAUGGACAUACCACUUUCAUGUGUGGUCUUAUUUCUUUUGAUCUUGGUAGUGACUACUCAUACAAGUUCCCUUUACAUCCUUUGUGUAAAGAUGAAGCCUUAGAGCGUUUAGUGUCGAGAGACAGCUGAUUAGCUCCCAAAAUGGAGAUUGGCUUUUUCCCCUGCUGUGGAGAUGCAGGAGUUUGUUCAUUCACUCUCUUAUUCAAUCCAUUUAUUCCCAAACCAAGUCAGUGGAUAAUUCAUCUCGCAUGAAGAAACAGAUGAACAACCUGACCAAAUGAAUUUCCACCCAAGUGCAUGAUCUCCUGUUAGCCAAAGUAAACUCUCGAUCGUUGGCUUACCGAUGGUACUGAGAGGACCGACUCAAUGUCAAAAGUAGUUCAACAAGUUGGUUUUUACUAACUUGUAACUGCAUUGUGAAUAAAGUUUGAGUUUAGAGAUUGUUUUAUCGAGUUAUCUAAACUCACUUUAGUUCAACCCAUCCUAAGAAAGUACUUACGAAAAUCGAGAUUAGGUCAACUAAUAACCACCUAGCCAUUGCUCUAGUCAUGUCUCGAUCGCCUCACGUGUGCUUUUCCAGCAUGUGUGACCAUAUCAAGCCAUGAUUAGUGCUCGAUAAAAUGGAUUUGUUACAAAAACAACAUUUACAGAUCCCUCCGUUGGUGAUGUUCUCGAAUCUAUAUCACCUUUCAGGGACUUGGAUUUUCUGGCUAGCCACGGGUCAACUGUGAUGUUAUUCGACAUUCACACCCAUCUCGUGUGCUAUGAACUUACCGUGACCACUUGUUGGUAAACCUCUUUCUGUAUGUUUUACCCAAGAGGUUGCAUCUGAUUCUGUUUUGGUAAAAUCGCGUAAUUGCCGCUCGCUCAAUAGACUCAGAUAGUGCAAUGUCAUCAGAAAAAGCAAACUGCACACAUGGAACCUUAUGUGUUCCUCUGGCAGACAUUGUCUCUAUUGUUGGACAUCUCUAAAUUAGCCUAAGGCGAUACAUGUUAUGUCCACUAGAGAAACAACAUCCUGAGACACUCGCCUUUAUUUGGAAAUGUCUCAUGAUUAUCGCUGAUAUGGACAUGGGUUACAUGCUUCUCUACUCUUAGAAGUCUUUCGUUUCAAAUCUCGGGACGAGAUUCUUUUAAGGGGGGAGGGGUGUAACACCCUUGGUGUUUAUAUUCCGCUCGACAACGAGUAUGGAUUUAAGCACGUAAUAUCAGUGGAUAAAACAAAUGUUAAAUUUUAAUUAUUCUCUCUAUCGCGAUUUUAUAUCGCAUCUAUUUCGUCUGUCGCGAGUGCGACAUCGUUUUUUUUAUUUUUAUCUAUCCGGGCUCGUCCUAAAUUUUCGUGCUGUUCGGAACAUAGUUGUUCCAAAAAUCGGUGCGUCCGGUGAUUAUUUAAAAUUCAUCGCUCGCGUGAAUACGAAUUCGGAAGUCCGAUCCACUCGGAUGAUUUUACCUCGAACAGAUUAAGUAGAACUCGACGACUAAGUUUUCGAUGCAAAUAAUUAUGUCCCCACUCGUCAACUGAGAAGUCGCGUCCAAGGAAUUAUAAUUGAGAUCCGAUUCUCCGCGUAAAUUAUCUGUGGCCGUGGAAACGGGUGUCGAGACCACGGAUAAAAGUUUCCGGUUUUGAAUUAAAUCCAAUCUAGCGCAGUCUAAGAUAUCAAAGAUAAUGACGUGGUCUGGUACUAGUUUAAAUAAAGUUAAUCGAUUUAGACGAACUGGAAAGGUCAACUAAGUAUUUCGCUCUGUUCGAGCGAUCCCUACGAAUUUGGUAGAAACACUACUAGGGGCGGGCUAUUUAAAUAAACCAAACUCGAACUAACCAAAACCAGAACAAUGGUUAGCCGAUUCGCUUUCCUAUUUAAAAAUCCGAGAAAAUAAUCUAUUAUUCGAUAGCGCUUUAAAUUGGCGAUAGCGCUUUAAAUUGGCCCGUUUACUCCUUAUUUUAAAUCCAAAUCCCAAUAUUCAGAACAGAUGAGGUUUAUCUGUUUUAAACCAAAUUUGACAUAGUUUGAAUUAUCCAAGCCGAUCUUGUUUGGUUGGGUUCGUGUGUUCCUCGCCUAUAUCCAAAUCUUCAGAUAUAAAUAACAGAUAACUUUUAUCUGGGUUCAACUAAAUUAAUGGUGUCUCAAGUAGUAUAUUUGUUUUAGUCCGGUUCAUUUAUAUCUCACCCAAACUCUAAUUCUAGCACCAGUAUUUCUUAAGAAAGAAAGAAGAAAUAUCCUAUUUUUCUAAUAGCCCUCGACCUUGGAAAACUCUUGAAGACACGCUCAACCUUAUGUCCUUGCCCAGUUUCUGGACGCAUGCGAGGGACCAAAUUCUUUUCUUCUACGCAUGCCAGAGACCAAAUUCUUUUCUUCUACGCGAGCAUAAGCCUCUUCUUUGUAUUGUCCCGCCGCCCUCCAUCAGGAUAUUUUCUCAGGCCCUUGUCUGUAUAUAACGCUCAUCGGCCUGAUCCAUUUUCUGAAAAAAAUCUCAUUCUCUUUCUUAUCCAUCCAUCGCUCAGCAGGAGCUUAUUUCUUACACGUCUCCAGCGUUCACUCAGGCGUCUUAGCAUUCUUUUCUCUGCUCCUCUCGGCACUCGUCUCAGCACUUCUUCCUCAGGCCGCAACCCUUCUCUGCCAUUUGUGCUUGGCUCCCAGAAGCUGCCGAGCUAGACUCCUCGUCGUGCGCUGUUGUGCUGCUCCAUGUCCGACCGUUCGUCUCUAGCUCGCCAUGGCUGCUCCAGAUCCUGCUCGCGAGUUUCCCAGCGCCGUCAGCUUGCCGGCAUCCAGCUCGCCUGUAUCAUGGCCGUCGCGCCGUCUUUACUCGUUGGCCGUGCGUUGCCGCGCACACGCGCCCGACACCCCGGUUCCUCUGUACGCCUUGGUUGCGCGCGCCGAACUGCGUCCUUCGCAGCUCGCUGGCUUUAGCUGCAGGACACCACCAGCCGUGCCUUCGUAUCCUGUGUCCUCGACUCGUCCACAGUGUCACUCGCGAGGUGCUCGAGGUAAUGGCAGAAUUGAAAAUCGUAGCUGUGCUCAUGGCCUUCAAGACAUAUUAAGUUAUUGGUGAGUUGUCGUCGCUCUCGCUUUUCGUUUUAAUAUUUCUCGUCAGUUUGGUAUACUUGCGCUAUUAACGUGGGCCGGUGACGUGCGCGUAAAUCGCAGUAGUGAAUUAGUCCCAGAAUAAAAUUUGAUCGGAUAGAAUAAUGAAGUCUAGUACGUUGCUCGUCACAUAUUUGGUGUUAUGCGCGGACCGGAAAGCGUCGUCGAUUUCGUGGUUUCAAGUCGGAAUUAAUGAGGGUAAGUUGAUUCAUUAUUCCAGUCAACUAGGUAUAUAAAUAGAUUAAAUAUAAUUGUUGGUCGCGAUAAUUGUUAUUAAUUUAGCAUAUGUAUAUUGUGAUGUUCGAUUUAGAUAAAUCGGUAAAUCAAGUUAAUUAAGAUACACAGUUUAAAGAGUUAAUUAGAUUGUUUCUAUAAUUAUUUUAAGUUGUUGGCAUUUAAUAAUAGCGAGUCUAGGUUUUACUAGACCUCUGAAAUAUAUUUUACUAAAAAUGAUAAUGUGUGUUUAUAAUUUAAUCUUGCUUGAUAAUAAAAUUAGAUGUGAUUGAACAGAAGAAAUGUGCGUGAUGUAAUUAGUAUGUAUAGUUUAUUAUUUUGUGAUUAUUGCGCGUAGUCGUAUGUCGAUAACUAGUGUGUCCGUAUAAAAUUGUACAAUGCCUCGCCGCUAGGUGUUUAGUUCGCUAUCGCGUAGCACUAUUUAGGGUUUUUGAUAUUCCUGUUUAUAUGCAUUCAUGUGCAUCGUGUAUCUCAAUUAGGUACGAUAAUUGAUCGUGUGAUGCGGAAGACGAGCCAAGUCGACCCCAAGCGCGGACUACUCCGCAUGGAGAUGCUGAUAAACGAACCUACCUGAUCAAGUGCUAGGACAAGGAUGAUCGUCAAGUGGACGUCACCUAACAACACUAACGUAGUGUUUAUUCCAGGCAAGCCCCGGUGCAUGCAACCCCUUCCUUGUGUUUUUAAAUAAUUUUUGCACACUUUAAGUCUAGUGAAAUGUGCAUUAGGUUUAUAGGAGUUGCUUGGAAACCCUUUGAUGCAUUGCCUUCCUUGAAAUCCAUACCUUUAUAGAUACUUCUGGUGAAGUAUCAAAAUAUGAUUUACAAAAAUGCUUAGCCCUGCUCAGAUCUUGUGGAUAGAGGUUGUCUUUUGCGUUAAGGCCUUGCUCAGGGGUUAUCCUGAGGAAAGAUGGCUUCUACCUGCAAGAAUAUUUUCAUUGAGACCGUGGUGGGAUCUUACUGCAAAGUUCCCUAUAAUGCUCUUUUCAUCCUAGGGAGCACAAACACUCCUAAGGAUGGAAGUACUUAAAUCGGGACUUGGGCUAGGAACAGGUGAUGCUCCGCCCGGGUCAAUUAAGGAUUGGAUGUGUAUGUAGGCCUGAUAGAUCAAGGACUAUCUUAACUGGCCACAUGCCCUGGAAAUGGGACAGGGUAAGCUUGAACCCGGCUAUUCCAUACGUGAAAAGACAACCGCGCACUGGGCGUGGGAGAUGGUGGGAGUAGCGUGUGCCCUCCUGGCUAGAGGCUGGAUGGAGGAGUACUGUGCUCCCGGGUAGCGCGGACCGGUUCACGUUGUGGAGGAUCUGUGGGAACGGUUGACAUAUGCAAGGGUUAAGUGCUACAUAUGUCGUGUGGUUAGAGAUCCUCAGCUGAGUAAAUCGAUUCGGAUCGCCGUUAUAUCCCCGAAGAGUGGAGACUUGAUCACUGACCUGCAACCUAAGUCAGGAUGUGAACCUCAUGAAUAAAAAUGAUGUUGUAUUGAUGAGAUGAUGAAAUUAGACCAGAUGCAAAUAGAGUCUAUUAAUAUUUAAUCUGGCAUUAAAAUAUUGAAAGUAAGAACUCACUUUAGUAAGCUAUUUCUGCAAAAGUAUCUAAGUUGAUUCUUGCUAAAGCCUCUCCUUGAUUCCUAAAUCCAGCAUACCCUUGAGAGUCUUUUCUUUAGUCGGGUAAGUCUUGCUGAGUAAUUCCAUACUCAGGGUUUUAUUCCCUGUUGUUUUUCAGGUUCUAACUUUGUGCUGCUUUUGAUGGUGUUAAGUGCCGGUGGGCUCGACCUUCUUAUAUAAGUAUAACCCGUCUUUAUCUUCUUACUGAUGAUGGUCAUUUGAGCUAGCAUAUAUUUCAAACUUAUACUUUUGUAAUCACUCCGAUAAAAUAAUAUAAAAUUUUUGUAACUUGUAAAAUUUGGUAAUAAGAUUUCCGCUGCAAAAAUAUUGGUGUGUGUGAUUUGUGUUACUUAAUCUCGCGGUUCUGGUUGUAAGUGGUUUAUCCGGUGUCCUUGGGGCAAUCGGACGGAUCCUGUUAAGUUAUCUGGUGCACAUGCACGACCGUCUGAGGUCUUUGAGACAAGGACAGGUGCAUGUGGGCCCGAUAACUUGGAGGUUCUGCCACAUCGGUGAAGACAAAGGCUUCCACUCCGUAACUCAUCCUUCGCUGUCGCUCCGAGCAACUCUUCAUCUUUGGUAUAAUCUUCACUCACAUGUUAUUUACCAAAGGGUGCAAAAGUAGUUUAAAAAGGGCUCUAAUGAUUUCGUUUUUGGCGAUUUAUGCCAAAGGGGGAGAGAGCAUGAGCCCAAAGCAAAAGGACCGCACCACCACCAAUUUCAAAAAUUUUAGUCUUUCAAUUUGGUUUUAAAGAAGUAUUUUCAAAUUGGUAUUUUAUGUGUUAUAUAAUUUCAAAUUGGUAUACCCUCUUCAAAAUUAACAUCAAAACCCUCUUGAACACUAAGAGGAGGAUUUCAUUAAGGGGGAGUUUUGUUUAGUCAAAGUAAAAGCAUUUGAAACAGGGGGAGAAAAUUUCAAAUCUUGAAAAUGCUUCGCAAAAUCUUAUUCAUUUACCUUUGACUAUUUGCAAAAGGACCUUGAAAAGGAUUUACAAAAGAAUUUGCAAAAACAAAACAAGUGGUGCAAGCGUGGUCCAAAAUGUUAAAACUAAAGAAACAAUCCAUGUGUAUCUUAUAAGUAUUUAUAUUGGCUCAAUUCUAAGUAACCUUUGCACUUACAUUAUGCAAACUAGUUCAAUUAUGUGCUUCUAUACUUGCUUUGGUUUGUGUUGGCAUCAAUCACCAAAAAGGGGGAGAUUGAAAGGGAAUUAGGCUUACACCUAUUUUCCUAAUUGAUUUUGGUGGUUGAAUUGCCCAACACAAAUAAUUGGACUAACUAGUUUACUCUAGUCUAUAAGUUAUACAGGUGCCAAAGGUUCACAAAAAGCCAAUAAAAAGACAAAGAAAAGGGUUCAACAAAAAGAGCAAGGGACAACCGAAGUGUGCCCUGGUCUGGCGCACCGGACUGUCCGGUGUGCCACCGGAUAGUGUCCGGUGCACCAGGGAACUCCAAGCCCAACUCAACACCUUCGGGAAUUCUCAGAGGCGCUCCGCUAUAAUUCACCGGACUAUCCGGUGCACCACCGGACAGUGUCCGGUGCUCCAAGGAAGAGCGACUCUGAAGUCACCAGCUUCGGGAAUCCGCUCCGCUAUAAUUCACCAGACAUGUCUGGUGCACACCGGACUGUCCGGUGAGCCAGCGGUGCAACGGCUACUUCGCGCGCAACGGUCGACUGCAACGCAUUAAAUGCGUGCCUGCGCGCGCAGAGGACAGAGCACACGCGAGUGGCACACCGGACAGUCUACAGGACUUGUCCGGUGCGCCACCGGACAGCCAUGUGGGCCCAUAAGACAGAGCUCCAACGGUCGAAACCCAACGACCUGGUGACGUGGCUGGCGCACCGGACAGUGUCCGGUGGCGCACCGGACUGUCCGGUGCGCCAUGCGACAGCAGCCUCCACCAAACGGCUAGUUUGGUGGUUGGGGUUAUAAAUACCCCCAACCACCCCACAUUCAAGUCAUCCAAGUUUUCCACCUUCCAACUACUUACAAGAGCUCUUGCAUUCAAUUCUAGACACACCCAAGUGAUCAAAUCCUCUCCCAAUUCGACAAAAGCUUUAGUGUUAAGUGAGAGAGAUUUGUUGUGUUCUUUUGAGCUCUUGCGCUUGGAUUGCUUCUUUCUUUCACUCUUUCUUGCGAACAACUCAAUUGUAACCGAGGCAAGAGACACCAAUUGUGUGGUGGUCCUUGCGGGGAAGUUCGUUCCCGUUUGAUUGAGAAGAAGAAGCUCACUCGGUCCGAGGGACCGUUUGCGAGAGGGAAAGGGUUGAAAGAGACCCGGUCUCUGUGACCACCUCAACGGGGAGUAGGUUUGCGAGAACCGAACCUCGGUAAAACAAAUCCGCGUGUCACACUCUCUAUUCGCUUGCGAUUUGUUUUGCACCCUCUCUCUCGGACUCGAUUAUAUUUCUAACGCUAACCCGGCUUGUAGUUGUGAUUAAGUUUGUAAAUUUCAGAUUCGCCCUAUUCACCCCCCCCUCUAGGCGACUUUCACACACGCUGUCAGUUUGCUACUGGUCACCCCAACCGUUGCGCCCGUCUUUGCGGUAAACUGGUGUGUGGCCCCCCACGCAUGGCGGUUCGGUCGUGCCCCGCGCGCGUGGGGCGCCCUGUUGGCACCGCCCAUGUUGAGAAUACUUUUCAGCAGCGGCCCCAAGGCGGCAUGGGAGCGCACGGCGGUUUGUUCUUCCUGCGCAUGGAGACCAGCGCCCCAGCCAUGUGACUUGCAGGCUCGGG
RNAcentral lists this long non-coding RNA (10139 nucleotides) under Zea mays. RNAcentral's name for it is "long non-coding RNA (ZMAY_LNC004552)". The record is from RNAcentral. Lineage: Eukaryota; Viridiplantae; Streptophyta; Magnoliopsida; Poales; Poaceae.